Molecule: long non-coding RNA, 1390 nt
Organism: Ictalurus punctatus (channel catfish)
Lineage: Eukaryota; Metazoa; Chordata; Actinopteri; Siluriformes; Ictaluridae
Source: Ensembl
AUCUGCCUAGCUACAUAUUACUUGUCUAUCUAUCUAUCUAUCUAUCUAUCUAUCUAUCUAUCUAUCUAUCAGUGUGUCUGUCUAUUGAUCUGUCUAGCUACAUAUUACUUGUCUAUCUAUCUAUCUAUCUAUCUAUCUAUCUAUCUAGGCUAGCUAGCUAACUAGCUACCUACUUACUCGUCUAUCUGUCCACCCAUCUAUCUAUCUAUCUAUCUAUCUAUCUAUCUAUCUAUCUAUCAGUGUGUAUGUCUAUUGAUCUGUCUAGCUACAUACUUACUUGUCUAUCUAUCUAUCUAUCUAUCUAUCUAUCUAUCUAUCUAUCUAUCUAUCUAUCUAUCUAUCUAUCUAUCUGUCUAUUAGUGUGUCUGUUUAUUGAUCUGUCUAGCUACAUAUUACUUGUCUAUCUAUCUAUCUAUCUAUCUAUCUAUCUAUCUAUCUAGGCUAGCUAGCUAACUAGCUAACUAGCUACCUACUUACUCGUCUAUCUGUCCACCCGUCUGUCUAUCUAUCUAUCUAUCUAUCUAUCUAUCUAUCUAUCUAUCAGUGUGUAUGUCUAUUGAUCUGUCUAGCUACAUACUUACUUGUCUAUCUAUCUAUCUAUCUAUCUAUCUAUCUAUCUAUCUAUCUAUCUAUCUAUCUAUCAGUCUAACUAGCUACCUACUUACUCGUCUAUCUGUCCACCCGUCUGUCUAUCUAUCUAUCUAUCUAUCUAUCUAUCUAUCAGUGUGUAUGUCUAUUGAUCUGUCUAGCUACAUACUUACUUGUCUAUCUAUCUAUCUAUCUAUCUAUCUAUCUAUCUAUCAGUGUGUAUGUCUAUUGAUCUGUCUAGCUACAUACUUACUUGUCUAUCUAUCUAUCUAUCUAUCUAUCUAUCUAUCUAUCUAUCUAUCAGUGUGUAUGUCUAUUGAUCUGUCUAGCUACAUACUUACUUGUCUAUCUAUCUAUCUAUCUAUCUAUCUAUCUAUCUAUCAGUGUGUCUGUCUAUUGAUCUGUCUAGCUACAUAUUACUUGUCUAUCUAUCUAUCUAUCUAUCUAUCUAUCUAUCUAGGCUAGCUAGCUAACUAGCUACCUACUUACUCGUCUAUCUGUCCACCCGUCUGUCUAUCUAUCUAUCUAUCUAUCUAUCUAUCUAUCUAUAUAUAUAUCUAUCUAUCUAUCAGUGUGUAUGUCUAUUGAUCUGUCUAGCUACAUACUUACGUGUCUAUCUAUCUAUCUAUCUAUCUAUCUAUUAGUGUGUCUGUUUAUUGAUCUGUCUAGCUACAUACUUUCUUGUCUGUCUAUCUACCUAUCUAUCUAUCUAUCUAGGCUAGCUAGCUAGCUAACUAGCUACCUACUUACUCGUCUAUCUGUUCACCCGUCUAUCUAUCUAUCUAUCUAUCUAUCUAUCUAU